AGGACUGUUUAUCCCGCUCCUGAGGGUGGGGAGGUAUCCCCCAAGGCGCAAGCACACAGUACAGUGGGGUCAAGCAUCUAGCUGACCUAAUUAAAAGCUCAUUACACCAGCCCAUCCCCAUUAACAGGCUGACCCACGUGCAAAUCCAUUAACGCAGGAGUCUUCUCUGCUUCCCAAACCAGGAAUCCCAGCCGCAGCCCCGGGGCCUGGAAACUCCGGCCAGUUUAUUAAAGUGCCUUCCCCGCCUGUGACCAUCAGGCAAAGGGAGAAUCUUGCUGGGAAUCUCACUUCUAGCCAAUGAGGAAUUUUCAGGAAAGCGAAAUGGAAGGCAUCAUUUUGGCAUCUCUGCAGAUCUGUAUUCUCAAAGGUACUCAGAUAUCCACGAAGUCCUCCUCAUCUCACACUAUCGUUUCUCUCACUGGGCACAAUCCAGCUUUAAAGAAUUCAACACUUACUGGUCUUCAGAGGACUGUCAGCAAUGACAGCAGCCAGGGAUGCUGACAUGUCUUGUUGUUUACAAAGGAUGAGCACAAGUCCUUUUGGAUAACCUGAUAAGCCCUGCAACUCCUCUCUCCCUGUUCCUCACCUCUCUGGACCAGCUGCCUUUGUGUGGUGGCGAAACUGAGAUUUUGGGAUCCAUGCAGCUCUAUGGAAUGUAUUAUGGGUGAAUUUUGAACCCAGGUCUAUGUGCUUCCAGCCAAGGGUAUUUCUUUAUGGAUCAUCUCUCUAGUGUCAUGAAAACCUCAGAUAGAAAGCUGGAAUCCAUUGCAAGACUACCAGGAAAACCUAAUCAACAGAGACUUUUGCCAUUCCAAAAGAUUCUCUUUACUGUAAGACAUAUAUAGUAAUAUUUAUUUGAAAUGAGCAUUUAGUCUAACCC
Long non-coding RNA from Symphalangus syndactylus (siamang), 880 nucleotides. RefSeq lists it as uncharacterized. Lineage: Eukaryota; Metazoa; Chordata; Mammalia; Primates; Hylobatidae. The record is from RefSeq and is a predicted model, not a curated record.